CCUGUUCUGAGCAAUGGCUGCAAAAGCUAUUCAAAAGCUUGUGUUAACGAAACUUUUGCUAGCAUCAUUUUACAAAGACUUGCUGUGCGAUCACGUAACGCAGUCACCAUCCGUUCUUCUGGCAACAGCGGGGAGCCAGGCAAAACUGUUUUGCAGCUACGCUACGAGUUAUGGAAAUCCUGAUUUAUAUUGGUAUCGUCAGCUCUCCGACAACUCGCUGCAGUACAUUCUGUACAGAGAUAACUCCCGAUCCCACAAUGCCAAUUUUGCCAAAGAACGUUUUACGGUGGAACGCCAAACAUCGGAGAAAACCUUCCACCUGGUUGUAUCUGCAGUAAGAGUGGAGGACUCUGCUCUCUACCUCUGUGCACUUAGUCCCACAACGAUGCAGCUGUGCUACCCAGCUGUACAAAAACUUCCUGCAAGGGACAUUUCUUCCCCCCUUUGUAUUCUGAAGCUUUUACCACUGCCCUGAUUUGGUACAACAUUACAAAUGCAUAAACUGCAAGGUCAGAAAGCGCUGCUAUGAGAUGCCAUUGGCUCCACACAUGUCUUUGUUGGAUGAGACUCUUGGGAUGUGUCCAAAUUGUCUCUUGCCCCAC
Non-coding RNA from Alligator sinensis (Chinese alligator), 602 nucleotides. Lineage: Eukaryota; Metazoa; Chordata; Crocodylia; Alligatoridae. The record is from the annotation of a RefSeq genome assembly.